UCCUUAGCAUCAGACAUCUAGAAGGUGAUUUCAGAAGUCAACAGCUUGAUGACCAGAUAAGCCUGCAAUUGCCAGCACCUGUUUCAAGGAUUUGAGAUCUUCAUACAAGCAGUUACCUUGGUCAUCUCCUUUGGUCUCUUCACCUGACACUGUGCUCUGCUUGGACGUAUUUAUAACAGACAUUUUACAUCUACUCUCUGACACGUCAUGGUGCUGAAUAGAAAUUACCUUGGGAUACUGAGUUGCAGAGAGGUCAAUGGCUCUGUGCGUCAUGUGCUGUAGGUGUGCAAUAGAUGUGACCCAGUGUCAAGGUGGGCGUCAGAGCAGCAGACUGCUGGAGAUCCCAGGAGGAGAGCGUGACACCGACAAAUUGCACUUACUGCUGAGCAGAGGAUGUGUCACUAUAUGUGUAAGAGAUACCUAUGCCCUGCAGAGAAGUCCUGCCCUGAAGCCCUCUGAGAUAUGUUUGUCCCAGCGCAGAGGAGGCUAUGAGGGAUUAGCAGUGUGUCACCACAUGCAGCACAGUGAGCAAUGGUAUGCUGUGUUUGACAAGUUUUUUUCCUGUUCAGCUUUCUUCUUGGAUGAGCAAAUUAAACUCUGAUUCAGAGUGGCAGGAUUUGCAGUACCCAAAGCAAACACACACAGCAGACAGUGAUAUUGGCUCUUACUGCCAUUCUGAGUACCAAUUUCUUACCAAUUUGGGAUUCCCUCCUUGAGAUAGCCUGUUUCCAUUGCCUAUAUCAAUACCUCACCCCUGGGGCUUUUCAGGGAUUUCACUUUGAGAGUAGUUCAUCUAUUUGGAGAAAACUGGCAAUGGCUACAGGCAAACAUCAGCAGCUUGUCAGCUCUGCCAGCAGCAUGGCACUCAUCUGGAGGCUGUGAGAAGGGAAUGUUGUGCAGGAAUUUGUUUGCAACAGACGAGGUCUGCAGGGAGAGGCAGCAACUUCACUCCAGGACUACUUUAACAGAGAAGAAAAAUCCUCAGUCUUGUUUUCUGUCAUAUAGAUCUGACACUCAGGUAUGAUCAUUAGAGGAAGAAAAUAUAUCUCUGAAGUCUGCAGGGGAGGAGACCAAGGGGUUAAAAGCAUGUGAGGAGUGUGCAGCAAGGGGAACCAGCACAGAGGAAAAAGCUGUUCUGAUGCAGUUCUGAGCAUCACAACUUCUUUCCUUAGUUUAAAACCUGACCAUGGACUCUUGGAUUUGGGGUCAGGAAAGCAGCAGCAUUAAUGCUUGUUUACACUCCUGAAAGUAUUCUCUUCACCUUUCCCUUUUGCCUUUGCUCAAUGCAGCCCUUCCACUGUACUUCUCCACAAUGCAAAUCUCAGGGGAUGGCAAAACUGGGAGAGGCAAGAGCUGGCAAAGCAGGGGGAGACAUUCCAGCCGUGCUCAGCCCUCUUCCGAUCGACUGCCCACAAGAAUAUUUAAUAACAAGGUAUACUCUUAAAAAGAAGAAGAGGAUGAUGAAGAAAAAAAGCUUUAGAAGAAGACUGCAGAGCUCAGGAGCAGUGUUCAGUGUAGACAGGGAUACACUCUGCUUAACAGGCAGGAGGAAUACACUCUGCUCCCUGAGUGCACAGUGUGCUGAAGCAUUUCUCUGCACCGUAACUCACAAAAACACUGCUUCCAACUUCGCAUUAUAUGGCACAUGUGAGUUUCACAGAAGCCCCUGCCACCCUGUCAGCUGCCCCGCACCUCCCUUAUUUCCUCUCCCCGGUCUUGCUUAUUGCCAGGUGACACCCACAGAUUCCAAGAGGCCUCUCUGCCCGUAGCAGCUGCUUGCCCCAUGAACACGCAGCGUUAUCCUCGAAGGAGUUCGGGCAAGAAAGGAUCACCCCCGGGGUCACCGCGCCGAAGAGCACACACCGGGGGGCGCUGCGAGCCUGCGGCACAGCUCCGGGGGUCGGACAGGAGGGGAGCCGGGCAGCGGAGCGAAAGGACUGGAGGUGGGAUGCGGGGCAGCUCGCUCGCCCCCGAUUUAAGGGGGCACAGCUGAGCGCAGCCGCUUGUCCCAGAGCGCUGACGACAAAAUAAGAAAACAAAUUCCCACCGCCCACCUUCUAAAGAAAUCUGUGGCGUUCCUGCUCCCCGACAGCAAAAACUGUUCCAGAGGUGCUUCCCGGCCUCGCCCAUGCUGUGUUCCUUCUCCACCCGGGAACGACGUUUCCGUGUCACCUCUGCUCACAGUGCUUGUCCCUCCUGCCCCAUCCCGCAGCAUUGCACACUGGAGCCGUCGACUUUUGCACCUGCGAACGCUCCGCGGCAGCGUUUUGCUUUUCGCAGUCUGAAAGCCGGGAAUGUCGCAGUGCUGAGCCGCAGGUGACUCCCACGAGAGAUGCCCGUCACCCGUCGGCGGCAGCUGCAGCACUCCGAGCACAGAGCUCUAGGGGACUGUCCACUGUCUGAAGAGAAAGGCAGAUUCCUGGUUUGUUUCAAACUCUACAAUUAUAAAAUGGAGUUUCCUCAUUUAGAAUGCUCCGGUAAAGCUCCUAUCACUUGCUGCUAUUUCCCUAAUGCCAUUCUGAAAAAAAGGAAUCAUUUCAAGCAGCAGUUAGAGAACCACAGAACUGGAAAUGCAGGAAUUUUCCUCAGCAACACAGGUUUUCUCCAUGCAUACUUUUCUGAGAUGUAACAAUUUCCCCAUCCACCCAAGCUCGAGAUAACCAGCUACCUGGAAAAGUUACCACUCAAACAGUCAAAAACUCGGUGUUAAAUCAGUUAUGUGCUUUUCUCCACAUAAACACUGAGGAUCUAAUAUAUAUAUAUCUUUAGAACAAUGAGCUGCAAUGGAGCAAGCUGAGAAAACAUUUACACUGAGAAAGGUGAGGUUGCUCCUGUGCAGCAAAAGAGGACCUCUUACCACACUUCGUGGGAGUGUGCACAGCCACACACCCAAUCUGUUCACACCUUUUUCUGCCUCCUUCUUCCCAUAGCUGAAGCAGAGGUCACUCCAUAGAAUGCAACUGGAGCAUGGCAGGGUUUGGCAAGUGCCUACCUGUAAGCGUUUGAGAUUGAAAGAUCGGCUGUGCCACAUUUAGCACCUUUGCAGCUGGGAAGGGGCUGGGGCUGGAUUGAGCACUACAUUCACAAACUCAGGGUGUAGUCUUUUACUUCUGCAGCCCUAGGCUGGAGGCAAAGAAAAAGCCAGCAGCCCUUGGUCCCGGUUCAGGCUGGAAGUGGUGUGGAAGGCACCGAGCAGGGAGGAAGUAAUGCUGUGAAUAGCUCCGAUUGUGUGCAUCUCCCGUCUCUGGUCUACUGAAAAGUUAAACAGGAAAAUGACAAUGAAAAGGCAGAAUCAUGGGAAAACGGGGCGCAAAAUUUGAUAGACAUUGCUACGAGCUUGAAGGAGAGAGACUUAAAAGGUCAGAGAGCAAAUGGAAAUGGCCACAAUCACCAGCGGGUGGCUGGAAGGUACGAUGAUGGACGCCAGUUUGACCCACAGGUCAGCAAACUGGUUUAGCUCUACCUUCAUCUACACAGAGCCAGACAAGUUCCCGGCUGCUAUCAAACAGCUCAAUGCCCUUAUCUGGAGGGGUUUAGUAAAAGGAAAUAAAUGACCAAAAGGAGCUAUUCAAUCUUCAAGUGCCGGGCUCUGCUGCUGAAAGAAAGAAAAAAAUUGUGUUCUUACAGAUCCCAGAGAAACACGGCAGCUCCUUCCCUGGAAGGAUGAGUUUGCCACUGCUCCAAAACAGAGAACUGGGCUCCCAGCCGGUGGCAUUUAGUGGCUGUUCCUUCAGAGGGGAUAUUGGAGAAGUAGCACUGGGGCCAUUCGUCUGUUUCCUUUUCAUUUGGUGCCCAUAAGGAAUAAAGUAGCAGGCAACAGUGCUUCUCACUCCCACAAUGGGAAUCUGGUGCUGGUACAUGGCUGCAUUUCCACAACAUUAAAUUAGUAAUGAUAAUAGUAAAGAGAGGAAAAAAUGCAGAGCAAACUGUUGCUUUGCUUUCGUAGAAAACUUUGCAGGCCCCCGAUGGCUGCAUCUGUAAUGACACACAUUCAGAAUGCAGCUCAGAGAAACUCAAGCAGAGCAAAUUCCGGUUCCAAUGCACCUUAAAAGUCCCUUCCAAGCCUUAUAACACUCAUAGCUCCCAAGCCCAAGUGCACUGGAGCCAAGCACCCUGCAUGCUUUUGCUACAUGUUUUAAUGCUGCUGUAGGGCUGUCACAGGAAUGUGCUUCCCUGUGUCCACACAAAGAUCUUUCUUCUAUGCCAAUUUUAGGCUCUAACCCCAAUCUCUCAGCACACCAAUAGUGUGCAACAUGAGGGGCCACAUUUCCCAAAGGAAUGACAUAUUCUCCCUGAUGUCAAGGUGCUAAUGUAAUGCUCUUGAGAUUCACUUCAAGGCGAAAACACAAAGACAACGCUUCCCAAUCAAGCAGGAGGUGGCAGAUUUAACUCCCCACUCCCCUGCACCUCUGUUCCCAGCUCAGGAAGUGCUUUGAUAAUGCCAGACACCCCACCCUGGCAACCCAAAACGUCCCAAACCCCCUGUCUGUCCCACUGGGGCUGCGGGAGUCACCAGUCCACAUGGCACAGCUCUGCCCAUGACCACCCAAACCUGGCUCCAAGUAUAGAGCCACCAAGCUCUUUUUAAAGAAAUAAUUAUCAUUCGAAUUCCCACAUCGCAUUGGCCUUUCUCAAUGUGAGAAAUGAU
This is a long non-coding RNA of Tympanuchus pallidicinctus (lesser prairie-chicken), 4648 nucleotides long. RefSeq lists it as uncharacterized. The record is from RefSeq and is a predicted model, not a curated record. NCBI's taxonomy places the organism in Eukaryota, Metazoa, Chordata, Aves, Galliformes, Phasianidae. The transcript has 4 exons.